UCUCGGAAGCUAAGCAGGGUCGGGCCUGGUUAGUAUUUGGAUGGGAGACCGCCUGGGAAUACCGGGUGCUGUAGGCUUUU
This 80-nucleotide microRNA precursor is filed under the name Pteropus vampyrus (large flying fox). The record is from RNAcentral. Lineage: Eukaryota; Metazoa; Chordata; Mammalia; Chiroptera; Pteropodidae.